Molecule: ribosomal RNA, 456 nt
Filed under: uncultured bacterium
Lineage: Bacteria
Description: bacterial SSU rRNA
Rfam family: Bacterial small subunit ribosomal RNA
Source: RNAcentral
UACGGAAGGCAGCAGUGGGGAAUAUUGCACAAUGGGCGCAAGCCUGAUGCAGCCAUGCCGCGUGUACGAAGAAGGCCUUCGGGUUGUAAAGUACUUUCAGUCGUGAGGAAGGUGUUAAGGUUAAUAACCUUAGCAAUUGACGUUAGCGACAGAAGAAGCACCGGCUAACUCCGUGCCAGCAGCCGCGGUAAUACGGAGGGUGCGAGCGUUAAUCGGAAUUACUGGGCGUAAAGGGCACGCAGGCGGUUAAUUAAGUUGGAUGUGAAAUCCCCCGGGGCUUAACCUGGGAAUGGCAUUCAAGACUGGUUAGCUAGAGUCUUGUAGAGGGGGUUAGAAUUCCAUGUGUAGCGGUGAAAUGCGUAGAGAUGUGGAGGAAUACCGGUGGCGAAGGCGGCCCCUGGACAAAGACUGACGCUCAUGUGCGAAAGCGUGGGGAGCAAACAGGGAUUAGAUACC